UGAACGCUGGCGGCGUGCUUAACACAUGCAAGUCGAACGAACCUUCGGGUUAGUGGCGGACGGGUGAGUAACGCGUGAGAAUCUGCCCUCAGGAGGGGGAUAACGGUUGGAAACGACCGCUAAUACCCCAUAUGCCUAUUGGUGAAACGAAUUUCGCCUGAGGAUGAGCUCGCGUCUGAUUAGCUAGUUGGAGAGGUAAUGGCUCACCAAGGCUUCGAUCAGUAGCUGGUCUGAGAGGAUGAUCAGCCACACUGGGACUGAGACACGGCCCAGACUCCUACGGGAGGCAGCAGUGGGGAAUUUUCCGCAAUGGGCGAAAGCCUGACGGAGCAACGCCGCGUGAGGGACGAAGGCCUCUGGGCUGUAAACCUCUUUUCUCAAGGAAGAAGAUAUGACGGUACUGAGGAAUAAGCCACGGC
RNAcentral lists this ribosomal RNA (419 nucleotides) under uncultured Prochlorococcus sp. RNAcentral describes it as "bacterial SSU rRNA". It matches the Rfam family "Bacterial small subunit ribosomal RNA", at positions 30 to 497 of the family's 1533-position model. The record is from RNAcentral. Lineage: Bacteria; Bacillati; Cyanobacteriota; Cyanophyceae; Synechococcales; Prochlorococcaceae.